Long non-coding RNA from Peromyscus maniculatus bairdii (prairie deer mouse), 2049 nucleotides. RefSeq lists it as uncharacterized. Lineage: Eukaryota; Metazoa; Chordata; Mammalia; Rodentia; Cricetidae. The record is from RefSeq and is a predicted model, not a curated record.
CCUGGCAACAAUGUCUACAUCUUUACUCCUCUCUGUACCCAUGCACCAUGACCAUCAGUCACACUCCUUUUGGGGGGUUUUGGUGAGUUUCAAACACAUAUCUCUACUGCGGCCCCCAGCCUGGAACCAAGACCAGGAGCCGUUUUACCAUGUUUUGAGAAACCCACACUUCUGCCCACAGAAGACUAGCAUCAAAGACAAAGAGCUCGUGGCAGCAGCCAGGGACUUGGAGUCUAGGUCCAGUUCCAUAUUGAGCCAGCUGUUGUGGGUCUCAGGAAGGUGUCUAGACUCCUCUGAGUCUGUAUUUCUUCAUCAGCCAGAUGCAGAUUUCCCGAAAAUUUAUACAAAGAUUUUCUUUCUUCUGAAAAAUGGAGGAUUAUAAAGCGUUCUGGGUCUCCACACCAAGUGGUCUGUGGGUCCAUGUAUAGGAUGAGUUCUCUGGAGUGUGUGAAGUCCAAGAGGGAGACUGGCCAGCGGUGCUGGCAUCAAAUAUAUCCUGAGCCUCUCCAGUGUUCUCCAAAGCCAGGCUGAGACUUUGGCACCAGGAAGCCCAGAGAGAAGUGAAGACAAGCCUCUUCCAGAACGAAGCAGGUGACAAGUCCUAAUGGAUUCUGAAGAGGGCUUGUGUUCCUGCCCUUAGCCAUUGUCCAGCCAUUUGUAGCCCGGAAUCCUUCCCAGAAGCUCUUUCUCUCAGAAAAGGAAAUUGGCAGCCCUGGGAAGUGAGCAGCUCUCCGCUUGGACUUGAUUGGGGACCAAUUUGGGCCUGUUAGCCGAGCCUCCGGUAUCAUCUCAGCCAAUUACUGGCCCAGCCUGGCCUGCAGCUGGCUGCUCCCUUCCAAGCCGGACACUUUUAUUCCAGCAGAACAAUCCCCUGCUCCAGAGCAAAGAGACCAGGGUGACUGUGGCCCAUUAAAAAGUAUGUCCAGAGACAUAAUUCACUCAGUAAGAUAAUGGAGUAGGCAGGGCUUCACCUGCAGCUUUAAUUGAAAAAAAAAAAAAAAAAAAAACCACCUCAAUAAACAGACUUGUGGCUUUUGGGUAAUAAGUAUGGGAAUUUACAAACUCUCCUGGCUAUUGGGCUCUGAUGACUAUUAAAGUUCAUGUCUGGCAGUGGAAUUUUGGCCUGAUGGACUAAGUUACUCGGCCUCUGCCAAACCAAACAGGCUGGCAACCAGAAGGGAAGCCUGAGGGAUAGAGCUCACGCCGCCCAUUUCUCCAGGACUCCAAGGGCUCCUUUGGACUGGGCUACCCACAGAUCAAGACCGGCUGCUAAGAAUGUUAGUGCUCACCCAAAGAUUCGCCAUUCCGCUCCUUCCUUGGCUCUGUAAAAUACUGUUCUGGCAAGUUCAAAUUACAAAGACCAUGCACACCUGUGACUCCAACACUGUGGGGCAGAGAGGCAAACCCUGGGAGUUUCCUGGCCAGCUAGCCACACUGACAUGGCAUAAGAUCAGCCACACAGAAGCAGGCAGCCACGUAGUGGGAGGAACGGUUCAGAGACAGAGGAAGGAAGUCCAGAGUAUCAGAAGGAGCAUGCUCAUGCUCUGGCCAGAUUCCAAAAGAAAGAGACAGGAAGAAGGAAAAGUAGCAUCUGACUCAAAAAGAACUUCCAGAAAGAACCCCCAUGACAACCACUAAGAAGAAUGUGAACAAGGAUGAGCAGAAGGGGAAAAUAAGGAUGAGAAGAAAGAAAACCAAACGCUGGCUUUCUCAGGAUGAUUCCUGAACCUAAUGAUGCCAACAUGAGAAGAGUCCGUGGUCCUUACUAGUUAAGGAACACCUCUCUUAAAGGGGACAGUCUCAUUCCACUCCUUGGCCAGCACCUGGAAGAUGGCCACUGUGUGUUCCAUCGUGUGUUGAAAGAUGAUCCAGCAGCCGGAAAGAAUUUCCAGGUUACACCAGUGUGUUUCUGUUUGGGGAAUAUCUCUGUUCUGACAUCACUGGGCGGGCAACUUAAGGUUUGGCCAAGAUUUAAAUAAAGACUGGGGCUCACACCAUCUUAAGCAGUUGAAAACUCAGGCUGGUGAUAGCUAUUUACACAUGAAAAUU